Molecule: non-coding RNA, 240 nt
Filed under: Enterococcus mundtii
Lineage: Bacteria; Bacillati; Bacillota; Bacilli; Lactobacillales; Enterococcaceae
Description: T-box sequence
Rfam family: T-box leader
About the family: Uncharged tRNA acts as the effector for transcription antitermination of genes in the T-box leader family. T-boxes are found upstream of many aminoacyl-tRNA synthetase genes and some amino acid biosynthetic genes usually in Gram-positive bacteria. The anticodon of a specific tRNA base pairs to a specifier sequence within the T-box motif, and the NCCA acceptor tail of the tRNA base pairs to a conserved bulge in the T-box antiterminator hairpin.
Source: RNAcentral
AUUUUUGCGUUGAAAUAGUAAGUACAAAUACAAAAACCUUUAACAGAGAGCUUCGGUAGCUGAGAAGAAGCAAGGCGGCAUGUUUGGAAAAUGGCUAUUGAGCAAUUCACCCCGAGCAAAAUUGUGAGACGGUGACGGUCGCAACCGUUAGCUUGCUAGAGUAUGAUUGUACUCGAAGAGGAGUUACAUGUAAGUGUAACUUGAACAUGAGGUGGUAACACGCAAAAAGGCGUCCUCAAG